GGUGGCUUAGUGGUAGAGAGCUUGCCUUGCAUGCAUGAGGUCCUGGGUUCGAUUCCUCAGCACCA
Molecule: transfer RNA, 65 nt
Filed under: Dipodomys ordii (Ord's kangaroo rat)
Lineage: Eukaryota; Metazoa; Chordata; Mammalia; Rodentia; Heteromyidae
Rfam family: tRNA
About the family: Transfer RNA (tRNA) molecules are approximately 80 nucleotides in length. Their secondary structure includes four short double-helical elements and three loops (D, anti-codon, and T loops).
Source: Rfam by way of RNAcentral